RNAcentral lists this ribosomal RNA (253 nucleotides) under uncultured bacterium. RNAcentral's name for it is "partial 16S ribosomal RNA". It matches the Rfam family "Bacterial small subunit ribosomal RNA", at positions 524 to 776 of the family's 1533-position model. The record is from RNAcentral.
UACGGAGGGUGCAAGCGUUGCUCGGAAUCACUGGGCGUAAAGGGCGCGUAGGCGGCCUAGCACGUUUGGUGUGAAAGCCCAGGGCUCAACCCUGGACGGGCACUGGAAACUGUUAGGCUUGAGUUCUGGAGAGGAGGGGGGAAUUCCCGGUGUAGCGGUGAAAUGCGUAGAUAUCGGGAGGAAUACCGGUGGCGAAGGCGCCCCUCUGGACGGCAAAUGACGCUGAGGCGAGAAAGCGUGGGGAGCAAACAGG